UCUAAUACCGGAUACUGACCAUUGCAGGCAUCUGUGAUGGUCGAAAGCUCCGGCGGUGCAGGAUGAGCCCGCGGCCUAUCAGCUUGUUGGUGAGGUAGUGGCUCACCAAGGCGACGACGGG
Molecule: ribosomal RNA, 121 nt
Filed under: Streptomyces luteogriseus
Lineage: Bacteria; Bacillati; Actinomycetota; Actinomycetes; Kitasatosporales; Streptomycetaceae
Description: partial 16S rRNA
Rfam family: Bacterial small subunit ribosomal RNA
Source: RNAcentral